AUUGAACGCUGGCGGCAGGCUUAACACAUGCAAGUCGAGCGAGCGGCGGACGGGUGAGUUAUGUCUGGGCAACUGCCUGAGGGAGGGGGAUCACUACUGGAAACGGUAGCUAAUACCGCAUACCAUCAGAUGUGCCCGGAUGGGAUUAGCUAGUAGGGGGGGUAAAGGCUCACCUAGGCGACGAUCCCUAGCUGGUCUGAGAGGAUGACCAGCCACACUGGAACUGAGACACGGUCCAGACUCCUACGGGAGGCAGCAGUGGGGAAUAUUGGACAAUGGGCGCAAGCCUGAUGCAGCCAUGCCGCGUGUGUGAAGAAGGCCUUCGGGUUGUAAAGCACUUUAAGCGAGGAGGCGUUACUCGCAGAAGAAGCACCGGCUAACUCCGUGCCAGCAGCCGCGGUAAUAC
This 406-nucleotide ribosomal RNA is filed under the name uncultured bacterium. Its description in RNAcentral is "partial 16S ribosomal RNA". It matches the Rfam family "Bacterial small subunit ribosomal RNA", at positions 30 to 526 of the family's 1533-position model. The record is from RNAcentral.